UCUGUCCAGAACUUUCGUUGUGGAAGGAUGUGCGGGAGUGAUGCGCGAUUUCUUGUGUCCCCUACUUUCCUUGUUUACGUUUUGCGCAGUGUUGCUUCUUAUUCCAUUGUGGAAUGAUUUAUCCUAGAUAACUUGUUGAGUUACAGGUGCAUGCGCCAUUCAUCAACGCCUACGUGUUGGCAUCAUCAACAAUCUUCAAAGUGGGUGACGGAAAGAAAUUGUUUUCCAGUUUUAAAAUAUUAAGCGUUCAGCACAACUCAGCCACAAAACAACGCACUGGAUUGCGCUAAGAACCUGUCGAAACGCGCGCAGCCCCCGGGAGCGGUAGGAGAAAGGAAGAACAAGAGGAGGAAAAACUAAAGCCAGCGCGCAGCUCUGAUGGUACCCCGUACGCGGUAAGAAGAAAAAAGAUCGAGAGGAGUGUUAGAAACUAACAAAGAAACCGAAUUUUUUAGGCUUAGGCGUGGUGCCAAAAAAUUAGUUUUUAUUUUAGGCGUUUUGUGGCUUGUUCUCUCGGUGAGUUCGUUUUACUGAAAGGGCAGAAACUGCCGUUCGUUCCCUAUUUAAGCUAUUUUUGUCCUAUCCGCGAUGCGCUUAGCUGACAGUUUGGCGGAACCCUACAACGGUUACAACAAGGAGGAAGAACGGUAAAUUUGGAAGGGGGAGACCGUUCUGUCGUCUACACAGUGUGAGUAUGCCAAAGCACGUGUUGGAAGGGAGAGAAAAAGUUGGAAUAAACCGCAUGUGAAUGUGUGCAUACAGCAAAAGUAAAAAUGUGUGCCUCAUCAUUUCUAUAAGCAGUCCGAAAAGGGGGUGGAGCAAACACAUUGGUAUGCGUGAGGUGCAGAAGAAAUCAGAGCGUGAUAGUAUGUGUGAACGCGAUCGUUCGGGUGGAAGGUGUCUAUGUGUGCGUGAAACCACAUUUCCACUUAUACUGCAAGUGGGUACGUAAGUGGGUACAUAUGAGUACAAGACGAUCCCAUACAAAACUUUUGGCUUUUUGCGGACUGGGUGGACAGUGAAUUCUUUUUCAAAAUGGAGCAUACUUGCAACUCUUGCGCAACCGAGAUCACCGAAGACCUGAUUAGCUGUUAUAUUUGCAACUCACCGUUCCACAUCCGCUGUUCACGCAUUCCUGAGGAUGCACUGAAGCUAACCAACGAAUACCAACAACUCCACUGGUACUGCCUACGUUCAACAAUGUGAUUAUUAAUCCUCGCACUAAAUACAUCAAACAAGCUUUGGCCUAGUCGAGCAUACACACAACAAUGGAUGCCGUCGUCAAUAGUCUCAAAUCUGCACUUGAACCUCUAGCAAAAGAAAUUCGUACUGGUCUAUCGCAGCUUAAUGAUUCGCAGAAGAGAACACCACUGAGCAGUCACCCUCCUGCCAAAUUACGCAGAGUUUUACCAGCGAAGAGAUCAUUCUCCGAAUCGACGUCAUUGCAUUUAGCUUGAUGGGCAAAAAUUUCGACACCACUUUGGCUAAACCGAUGUCGUUUACGGUUCGCAUCCCGACUCAUCUUCGUGAAACUGCGUUAUCGUCUUCGGUUUGGCCUUCUAAUCAACGUGUACGUGAAUUUAUUCUACGUGAUAACCGUCCAGCCUCAUCCCAUCCUUUGGCUUGUCCCACACCGAUGAAUGCACAUGAAACCCCACUGUAGGGAUUAUAAGGUAUGGGAGGAAGAGAUUGAGAGAGAAAAAGAGAAAAAAAGAGAUAAAUGGAUAGUUGUAUCAACAGCGAGAGAAGGACAAGGAAUAGAAUUGAAGAAAAUAAAUCGUCAGUUGAGUUAGAACUGUCAGCUGGAACACAUAUACUGUGAGUGCGUGGCGUAUUAAUGAGAUCCGAAAAGCGUAUUUCCUCCUCCGGUCACUACAAUGGCGCAGUUAGGAGGGAUACGAAUCAGUAUUGCGGAAGACAUACGCAUUGGUAAAAUGAGUGAAUCAAUCUGUGCGUCACGGGUGAGUAGCUCUGGCAUUUUGGAUUGGAUGAUAUGUAUUGAUAUAGAUUAAAAAGAGCAGACUCACGCACAUUUCUUCAUGGGAACGAUGUAAGUAUUAAUAACUAGUACAGCACAUUCCUACGGGGAUCGAUGCAAACAUGAAUACACACACCUAUAAACAGGAUGCGCAUGCACGGACAGACGGAUUCACACACAUUCCUUUAUGUUUAUGUUUAUGUUUAUGUUUAUUUGUCUAUCGAUGGACAAUAAUGCCCUCUCGAACCAUUUUUGCAAUGUUUUACAAUGAGUUCUUUACAAUGGAUUACAAUAACAUAGAACAUAAAAAUGUGCACUAUGGAACCAAGUUUAACACAGAAACACGAUCAUUAAACUCAGUUGGCGAAAUCCUCGGCUCAAAAGCGUCGCUGACUGCGUUGAAAGCACGGCACAUGAGUAGGAACGGGUCAGAGGAGCCAAAUUGCGUUCUACGGUCGUCGAGGGCCAACAUUGCCCGAGUCCGGAGCGGCCUGGCCGGAACGUACAGGUUGAUGGCAGCCAGUAGUGACGGAGAGUCAAUACGGCCGUCGAGAAGUCCCGUGAUGAACGACAACCUGGCUUUUCGUAUACGCUCACUUAGGGUGGGUAGCCCGAGUAGUAAACACCUAGUCCGGUAAUCGAGCCUUUGGUUCCAUGAGCGAAGUGCAAAUCGUGAAAUUUUGCGCUGGAUUGAUUCCAAUCGAGCUAACGGACGCGCUGCAGUUGGCCACCAUACGAUAUUUGCAUAUUCCAUCAACGACCGGAUAAGUGAGCAAUAGAGCGCCUUG
Molecule: long non-coding RNA, 2766 nt
Organism: Anopheles gambiae (African malaria mosquito)
Lineage: Eukaryota; Metazoa; Arthropoda; Insecta; Diptera; Culicidae
Exons: 3
Source: RefSeq, a predicted model, not a curated record